AUGCUUGCCCUGGUCGCCACCUUCGUCUUCUCCUGCCUCCUCUUCUUGUCCAAGCCAUGCGCCCGUGACAUGAGACUCUUCCUCGCCUCCAUCUCCCAACAACUCGCGCUCUCGCUGCUCGGAUUCUUGGCCGGCUACAGGCUGCUCGGCGGCGUCGCCUCCAGGGCCACGGCCACGGCCGUGGACGCCAUGCCCCUUAUGCCGUCCUUCAAGAGGAAGCGCCCGGCCGCCAAGCUGGAGACUACGGAUACGACCGGCGAGCCGUCGGUGCUCGACCUCCCGGAGCUGGCCAUCGACUGCAUUCUCGCCAAGCUGCCGCCGGCGGAGCUGCGGAACAUGGCCGCCGUCAGCCGGUCCAUGCGGGAAAGGUGCAGGAGCGAUCACCUCUGGGAGCGCCACAUGUCCGACAAGUGGGGUUCUGUCCUGGGUACCGCCGCGAGGGACGAGUGGAGGUCGUACCUGUCAUCGUCAACCGCGGCCGGCGGCGGCGCGUCGGGGUGCGGGUCUGCUGGCAGCGGCAAGCACCGGAGGUGGGUUGCCGCGCUGUCCUGCGUCUGCCCGGUGGUGUCCUGGAUGCGGCCUAGGGCUGACGGCGGCGCCGGCACGUCCGGGGGGCCUGUGCUGGAUGAUUCCAUCAUGUCGUGGUAUCUCCACCUGGAGAGCAGCGAGUUCUGGUUCCCCGCACAGGUCUACAACCGAGAGCAUGGGCAUGUUGGGUUCAUGAUGUCAUGCUAUGAUGCAGAGCUCAGCUAUGAUUUCCGCACUGACACGUUCCACGCAAGGUAUCCACCACACGGGCGACGAACCGUAGUCUUGGAGGAUGGCGUGCAAUGGGACAGGGUCAGGGCACCUCCCGUCGGAACUCUUGCACAUGACCUGCAUGCCUCUGACUGCUUACAUGAACUACGGCCUGGCGAUAACAUUGAGAUUCAGUGGAGAAGGAACAAGGAGUUCCCAUAUGGCUGGUGGUAUGGAGUUGUUGGCCACUUGGAAUCAUGUGAUGGAAAUGAGCACUUUUGUCGGUGUCAUCUUAGUGACACUGUGGUGCUGGAGUUCAAUCAAUACACGCCUGGCUCAAGAUGGAGGCAGUCCCUGGUGAAUCGGAAGGACCACAGGGAAGAAGGCAACGAGAGUGACGGAUUCUACGGUGGAAUAAGGAAGCUCCAAGACAAGGAUGAAAUCUCAAAGUGGAAGCAGCUAUGGCCAACGGAUAUCCUGGAAUAA
This 1224-nucleotide ribosomal RNA is filed under the name Triticum aestivum (bread wheat). RNAcentral describes it as "partial small subunit ribosomal RNA". The record is from RNAcentral. Lineage: Eukaryota; Viridiplantae; Streptophyta; Magnoliopsida; Poales; Poaceae.